UACGUAGGGUGCAAGCGUUAAUCGGAAUUACUGGGCGUAAAGCGUGCGCAGGCGGUUUGUUAAGUCUGUUGUGAAAUCCCCGAGCUCAACUUGGGAAUUGCAAUGGAUACUGGCAGGCUGGAGUAUGGUAGAGGAAGGUGGAAUUCCCGGUGUAGCAGUGAAAUGCGUAGAGAUCGGGAGGAACACCAGUGGCGAAGGCGGCCUUCUGGACCAAUACUGACGCUCAUGCACGAAAGCGUGGGGAGCAAACAGG
This 253-nucleotide ribosomal RNA is filed under the name uncultured bacterium. RNAcentral's name for it is "partial 16S ribosomal RNA". It matches the Rfam family "Bacterial small subunit ribosomal RNA", at positions 524 to 776 of the family's 1533-position model. The record is from RNAcentral.